RNAcentral lists this ribosomal RNA (304 nucleotides) under uncultured bacterium. Its description in RNAcentral is "partial 16S ribosomal RNA". It matches the Rfam family "Bacterial small subunit ribosomal RNA", at positions 506 to 807 of the family's 1533-position model. The record is from RNAcentral.
CAGCAGUAACCGCGGGAACACGUAGGGUGCAAGCGUUAAUCGGAAUUACUGGGCGUAAAGCGUGCGCAGGCGGCUCUAUAAGACAGAUGUGAAAUCCCCGGGCUCAACCUGGGAACUGCAUUUGUGACUGUAGAGCUGGAGUGCGGCAGAGGGGGAUGGAAUUCCGCGUGUAGCAGUGAAAUGCGUAGAUACGCGGAGGAACACCGAUGGCGAAGGCAAUCCCCUGGGCCUGCACUGACGCUCAUGCACGAAAGCGUGGGGAGCAAACAGGAUUAGAUACCCGCGUAGUCCCUGUCUCUUAUAC